RNAcentral lists this ribosomal RNA (252 nucleotides) under uncultured bacterium. RNAcentral describes it as "partial 16S ribosomal RNA". It matches the Rfam family "Bacterial small subunit ribosomal RNA", at positions 524 to 776 of the family's 1533-position model. The record is from RNAcentral.
UACGUAGGUGGCGAGCGUUGUCCGGAUUUACUGGGUUUAAAGGGUGCGUAGGCGGGCUUUUAAGUCAGCGGUAAAAAUUCGGGGCUCAACCCCGUCCGGCCGUUGAAACUGGGGGCCUUGAGUGGGCGAGAAGAAGGCGGAAUGCGUGGUGUAGCGGUGAAAUGCAUAGAUAUCACGCAGAACCCCGAUUGCGAAGGCAGCCUUCCGGCGCCCUACUGACGCUGGGGCACGAAAGUGCGGGGAUCGAACAGG